RNAcentral lists this ribosomal RNA (1065 nucleotides) under uncultured bacterium. RNAcentral's name for it is "bacterial SSU rRNA". It matches the Rfam family "Bacterial small subunit ribosomal RNA", at positions 324 to 1400 of the family's 1533-position model. The record is from RNAcentral.
UGAAUGUAUGGAUUCCUACGGGAGGCAGCAGUGGGGAAUAUUGCACAAUGGGCGCAAGCCUGAUGCAGCGACGCCGCGUGAGGGAUGAAGACCUUCGGGUUGUAAACCUCUUUCAGUAGGGAAGAAGCGAAAGUGACGGUACCUGCAGAAGAAGCGCCGGCUAACUACGUGCCAGCAGCCGCGGUAAUACGUAGGGCGCAAGCGUUAUCCGGAAUUAUUGGGCGUAAAGAGCUCGUAGGCGGUUUGUCGCGUCUGCCGUGAAAGUCCGGGGCUUAACUCCGGAUCUGCGGUGGGUACGGGCAGACUUGAGUGAUGUAGGGGAGACUGGAAUUCCUGGUGUAGCGGUGAAAUGCGCAGAUAUCAGGAGGAACACCUGUGGCGAAGGCGGCCCUCUGGACGGAUACUGACGCUGAGACGCGAAAGCGUGGGGAGCAAACAGGAUUAGAUACCCUGGUAGUCCCACGCUGUAAACGAUGGGCACUAGGUGUUCGGGGUAUUGACCCCCUGAGUGCCGCAGCUAACGCAUUAAGUGCCCCGCCUGGGGACUACGGCCGCAAGGCUAAAACUCAAAGGAAUUGACGGGGGCCUGCACAAGCGGUGGAGCAUGUGGUUUAAUUCGACGCAACGCGAAGAACCUUACCUGGGCUAGACAACACCGGACAGCCCCGGAAACGGGGUCUUCCCGCAAGGGACUGGUGGUUCAGGUGCUGCAUGGCUGUCGUCAGCUCGUGUCGUGAGAUGUUGGGUUAAGUCCCGCAACGAGCGCAACCCUUGCCUUUAGUUGCCAGCAUUAAGUUGGGCACUCUAAAGGGACCGCUUGCCGAUAAGGCAGAAGAAGGUGGGGAUGACGUCAAGUCCGCAUGGCCCUUACGCCCAGGGCAACACACGUACUACAAUGGCCAACACAGAGCGAAGCAAGACCGCGAGGUGGAGCUAAUCGCAGAAAAUUGGUCUCAGUUCGGAUUGGAGUCUGCAACUCGACUCCAUGAAGCUGGAAUCGCUAGUAAUCGCGGAUCAGCAUGCCGCGGUGAAUUCAUUCCCGGGCCUUGUACACACCGCCAUCGG